This 800-nucleotide ribosomal RNA is filed under the name Staphylococcus sp. Mg49. RNAcentral describes it as "bacterial SSU rRNA". It matches the Rfam family "Bacterial small subunit ribosomal RNA", at positions 58 to 839 of the family's 1533-position model. The record is from RNAcentral. Lineage: Bacteria; Bacillati; Bacillota; Bacilli; Caryophanales; Staphylococcaceae.
CACGUCGAGCGAACGGAUAAGGAGCUUGCUCCUUUGAAGUUAGCGGCGGACGGGUGAGUAACACGUGGGUAACCUACCUAUAAGACUGGAAUAACUUCGGGAAACCGGAGCUAAUGCCGGAUAACAUUUGGAACCGCAUGGUUCUAAAGUAAAAGAUGGUUUUGCUAUCACUUAUAGAUGGACCCGCGCCGUAUUAGCUAGUUGGUAAGGUAACGGCUUACCAAGGCAACGAUACGUAGCCGACCUGAGAGGGUGAUCGGCCACACUGGAACUGAGACACGGUCCAGACUCCUACGGGAGGCAGCAGUAGGGAAUCUUCCGCAAUGGACGAAAGUCUGACGGAGCAACGCCGCGUGAGUGAUGAAGGUUUUCGGAUCGUAAAACUCUGUUAUUAGGGAAGAACAAAUGUGUAAGUAACUGUGCACAUCUUGACGGUACCUAAUCAGAAAGCCACGGCUAACUACGUGCCAGCAGCCGCGGUAAUACGUAGGUGGCAAGCGUUAUCCGGAAUUAUUGGGCGUAAAGCGCGCGUAGGCGGUUUCUUAAGUCUGAUGUGAAAGCCCACGGCUCAACCGUGGAGGGUCAUUGGAAACUGGGAAACUUGAGUACAGAAGAGGAAAGUGGAAUUCCAUGUGUAGCGGUGAAAUGCGCAGAGAUAUGGAGGAACACCAGUGGCGAAGGCGACUUUCUGGUCUGUAACUGACGCUGAUGUGCGAAAGCGUGGGGAUCAAACAGGAUUAGAUACCCUGGUAGUCCACGCCGUAAACGAUGAGUGCUAAGUGUUAGGGGGUUUCCGCCCC